AAGGAGUGGGGACACGUCCCCAAGUGCCACCUCUGCCUGUCCCGGGACAGGGGACAGCGGGGACAUGGCCCCAGGGACACGGGCCAGGUCCCCAAGUGCCACCUCUGCACCUCCUGGGACAGGGGACACGUCCCCAAGGAGCAGGGACAGGUCCCCAAGUGCCACCCGUGCCUGUCCCCGGUCCCCAAGGGCCACCCGUGGCUGUCCCGGGGCUGGGGACAGGUCCCCGGGAGGAGGGGACGGGUCCCCGAGGGGAGGGGACAAUCCCCCAGUGGCCGCUGCCACCCGCCCCGGCACAGGGGACAGGUCCCCGAGGGGAGGGGACCCGGCAGGGGUGGCCGAGGGUGGCACCGCUCGGCGACAUCGGGAGCCGCGCCACGUCCGGGGACAGCGAGGACAGCGCCAGCCGCGGUUGGGGACACUCGGAGGAGCUGCGGCGGCCGCUGUAGCGCCGGGGAUGUCGCCGUGUCGCCGUGGCCGUGUCACCGUGGCCGUGUCACUGUCCCCGUGUCACUGUCGCCGCGGCCGCCUGGUGCCACCAGGACCCUGUCACCUGUCCCCGCCCUGUCACCGUGUCCCAAUCCCGAUGUCCCCUCCCUGUCACCUGUCCCCGCCCUGUCCCCGUGUCCCCUCCCUGUCCCCUCCCUGUCCCCUCGCUGUCCCCGUGUCCCCAAUAAAGGUGAAGCAGCAGCGGCCCCGCCCUCCUCCCUUGGGGACAGGGGGGUGGUGGCACUUGGUGGCACUUGGUGGCA
Molecule: long non-coding RNA, 752 nt
Organism: Passer montanus (Eurasian tree sparrow)
Lineage: Eukaryota; Metazoa; Chordata; Aves; Passeriformes; Passeridae
Exons: 2
Source: RefSeq, a predicted model, not a curated record